GACGAACGCUGGCGGCGUGCUUAACACAUGCAAGUCGAACGGAAAGGCCCUGCUUGCAGGGUACUCGAGUGGCGAACGGGUGAGUAACACGUGGGUGAUCUGCCCUGCACUUCGGGAUAAGCCUGGGAAACUGGGUCUAAUACCGGAUAGGAGCCAUUUUUAGUGUGAUGGUUGGAAAGUUUUUUCGGUGUAGGAUGAGCUCGCGGCCUAUCAGCUUGUUGGUGGGGUAAUGGCCUACCAAGGCGGCGACGGGUAGCCGGCCUGAGAGGGUGGACGGCCACAUUGGGACUGAGAUACGGCCCAGACUCCUACGGGAGGCAGCAGUGGGGAAGAUUGCGCAAUGGGCGCAAGCCUGAUGCAGCGACGCCGCGUGGGGGAUGACGGCCUUCGGGUUGUAAACUCCUUUCGCUAGGGACGAAGCUUUUUGUGACGGUACCUAGAUAAGAAGCACCGGCUAACUACGUG
RNAcentral lists this ribosomal RNA (465 nucleotides) under uncultured bacterium. RNAcentral's name for it is "partial 16S ribosomal RNA". It matches the Rfam family "Bacterial small subunit ribosomal RNA", at positions 28 to 507 of the family's 1533-position model. The record is from RNAcentral.